This 301-nucleotide ribosomal RNA is filed under the name uncultured bacterium. Its description in RNAcentral is "partial 16S ribosomal RNA". It matches the Rfam family "Bacterial small subunit ribosomal RNA", at positions 509 to 807 of the family's 1533-position model. The record is from RNAcentral.
CAGCCGCCACGGGAAUACGAAGGGGGCUAGCGUUGUUCGGAAUUACUGGGCGUAAAGCGCACGUAGGCGGAUAUUUAAGUCAGGGGUGAAAUCCCGCAGCUCAACUGCGGAACUGCCUUUGAUACUGGGUAUCUUGAGUAUGGAAGAGGUUAGUGGAAUUGCGAGUGUAGAGGUGAAAUUCGUAGAUAUUCGCAGGAACACCAGUGGCGAAGGCGGCUAACUGGUCCAUAACUGACGCUGAGGUGCGAAAGCGUGGGGAGCAAACAGGAUUAGAUACCCCAGUAGUCCCUGUCUCUUAUAC